RNAcentral lists this ribosomal RNA (486 nucleotides) under uncultured bacterium. Its description in RNAcentral is "bacterial SSU rRNA". It matches the Rfam family "Bacterial small subunit ribosomal RNA", at positions 29 to 514 of the family's 1533-position model. The record is from RNAcentral.
AUUGAACGCUGGCGGAAUGCUUUACACAUGCAAGUCGAGCGGCAGCGCGGGGCAACCUGGCGGCGAGCGGCGAACGGGUGAGUAAUGCAUCGGAACGUACCCCGUCGUGGGGGAUAACUACCCGAAAGGGUAGCUAAUACCGCAUACGACCUGAGGGUGAAAGCGGGGGACCGAAAGGCCUCGCGCGAUGGGAGCGGCCGAUGCCGGAUUAGCUAGUUGGUAGGGUAAAGGCCUACCAAGGCGACGAUCCGUAGCUGGUCUGAGAGGAUGAUCAGCCACACUGGUACUGAGACACGGACCAGACUCCUACGGGAGGCAGCAGUGAGGAAUAUUGGUCAAUGGGCGCAAGCCUGAACCAGCCAUGCCGCGUGCAGGAUGAAGCAUCUAUGGUGUGUAAACUGCUUUUGUACGGGAAGAAACACCGGAACGCGUUCCGGCUUGACGGUACCGUAAGAAGUAAGGAUCGGCGUAACUCCGUGCCAGCAG